CACGCCCUAAACGAUGAGUGCCAGGUGUCGGGAAGCUUAGCUUCUCGGCGCCGCAGCUAACGCCUUAAGCACUCCGCCUGGGGAGUACGGCCGCAAGGUUAAAACUCAAAGGAAUUGACGGGGGCCCGCACAAGCGGUGGAGCAUGUGGUUUAAUUCGACGCAACGCGCAGAACCUUACCAGGCCUUGACAUCCCACGCUCGGCGCAGAGAUGCGCUUUUCCCUUCGGGGACGUGGAGACAGGUGC
This 246-nucleotide ribosomal RNA is filed under the name uncultured bacterium. Its description in RNAcentral is "partial 16S ribosomal RNA". It matches the Rfam family "Bacterial small subunit ribosomal RNA", at positions 796 to 1041 of the family's 1533-position model. The record is from RNAcentral.